GAUGAACGCUGGCGGCGUGCCUAAUACAUGCAAGUCGAGCGAACGGACGAGAAGCUUUCUUCUCUGAUGUUAGCGGCGGACGGGUGAGUAACACGUGGAUAACCUACCUAUAAGACUUUGAUAACUUCGGGAAACCGGAGCUAAUACCGGAUGAUAUUUUGAACCGCAUGGUUCAAAAGUGAAAGACGUUCUUGCUGUCACUUAUAGAUGGAUCCGCGCUGCAUUAGCUAUUUGGUAAGGUAACGGCUUACCAAGGCAACGAUGCAUAGCCGACCUGAGAGGGUGAUCGGCCACACUGGAACUGAGACACGGUCCAGACUCCUACGGGAGGCAGCAGUAGGGAAUAUUCCGCAAUGGGCGAAAGCCUGACGGAGCAACGCCGCGUGAGUGAUGAAGGUCUUCGGAUCGUAAAAAUCUGUUAUUAGGGAAGAACAUAUGUGUAAGUAACUGUGCACAUCUUGACGGUACCUAAUCAGAAAGCCACGGCUAACUACGUG
This 497-nucleotide ribosomal RNA is filed under the name uncultured bacterium. RNAcentral's name for it is "partial 16S ribosomal RNA". It matches the Rfam family "Bacterial small subunit ribosomal RNA", at positions 28 to 507 of the family's 1533-position model. The record is from RNAcentral.